Hydra vulgaris (swiftwater hydra) is the source of this 465-nucleotide non-coding RNA. The record is from RefSeq and is a predicted model, not a curated record. Lineage: Eukaryota; Metazoa; Cnidaria; Hydrozoa; Anthoathecata; Hydridae.
AAUCAAAAUAAAUUUGUAUCAUAUAUCAAAAUAUAUUCUGUUACUUCUUUAUUUAUUUAUAAAAUAUAACCUGUUGUGGUGAUAAUUUUUUUUUUGCAAGAAUCUAUUUUUAACACAGUGCUCUCUGAAGGAAAACUUCUAAAAUGGAGGUGUUAUACUGUUGCUAUGCCAAUAUUAUCUAUAUUAUAUUCAUAUUUUUAUUGAUAUAUAAUUUUCAGGGGCUGUAGAUUUUGGUAAUGCAUAUCUUGAUUCUAAAAACCUGAGGGCUGUUGAAUGCAACGAAAUAAACAAUGCAAAAGAUGCAAAUGAUUUUGGCGGUGCACAUCCUGAUUCAAAAUGCCCAAAUGCUGCACACAAUAAUUCCUCGGUUAAUAAAAAACGUUAGAAUUUCACCCGAUUCAAUUUAUUUGAUGGUUCAACUGAUUUAGAAUAAUUUAUUUAAAAGAAAUAUAUAAUUUUAUUUUA